Molecule: ribosomal RNA, 140 nt
Filed under: uncultured bacterium
Lineage: Bacteria
Description: partial 16S rRNA
Rfam family: Eukaryotic small subunit ribosomal RNA
Source: RNAcentral
GCGCGCAAAUUACCCAAUCCUGACACGGGGAGGUAGUGACAAUAAAUAACAAUACCGGGCGCGUUAGUGUCUGGUAAUUGGAAUGAGUACAAUCUAAAUCCCUUAACGAGGAUCCAUUGGACGGCAAGUCUGGUGCCAAG